Molecule: long non-coding RNA, 2624 nt
Organism: Aethalodelphis obliquidens (Pacific white-sided dolphin)
Lineage: Eukaryota; Metazoa; Chordata; Mammalia; Artiodactyla; Delphinidae
Exons: 3
Source: RefSeq, a predicted model, not a curated record
UGAAGCCCGCGUGCCUACAGCCUGUGCUCCACAACGAGAGAAGCCACCGCAAUGAGAAGCCUGCGCACUGCGGCGAGGAGUGGGCCCCGCUCACUGCAGCUGGAGAGGGCCCGUGCGCAGCGGCGAAGACCCAACGCAGCCAAAGUUUCACCACAGAGGGGCACUUCCCCAGGCCGGUCCUGUGGGAACUUCCGUUUCCAAUUAAUUUACCUGACAAGGUACCCACACCCGGAGGUGGGCCAAGAGAACACAGAGCCAUGAUCUGCUGUGAAGCCCAGGUUCUCAAGUGACUCACCGCUGUGUUUUCGCCUCUGGGAGCUGUGUGGCGGCCUCUCCCAGGCUGUCCUGCCCAAAAGCGAGAUAUCGUCAUUCAGAUUCUGUAAGCCUGGAAAAGAAGGCGAGUAGGGAAAGAAGGCUCCAGUGGACAUAUGGUGACAACUUUUUCGUUCGUAAAUGUCCCAUUUUUCUGAUUAUUAAAGUAACAUAUACUCAUUUUGGACCAUCUUGUAAAUACAGAAAGUAAGAAAAAGAGAGUCAAAAUAGCUUAGAACCCCUGAAAAAAUAUGGACGGAAACCAUUAGAACCCUUUCUUGCUCCACAAAGUCGGCGCUCCCUCCCGGGUGAUGGGUCCAUCUCCAGCCUCUCCCCUCGUGGUCCAGCAGCAGCACGUUUUCCAUCUCCAGCCCCUGGCAUGCGCUGCGCUCAUCCUCUUUACCUGGUUAUCCCCACUUACCCUUUGAUCUCAGCUAGGAGAAGCCUUCUCUAACUCCCCUAUAAAAUCGGUCCUCCUGUUAUCUCUUCCCCUAACACCAUGCACCUCUCCUUUGGAGCACUUGUCCAGUUGAAAUUUUAGUUUGUGUGAUUAUUUGUUUGACAUCUAUCUUCAUGCUUAAACUGUAGGUUUUGUGAGGGUGGCGUCCAUGCCUUUUUUUUUUAAAGACCAUUGUAUCCCAGUGCCUAGCACAAUGCUUGCUUGCUUCCUCGUCUAACUUGACCAAACCCUCCCCAUCUUUAAGGUUAAGCCUGAAUUCCACACCCUUUCCCUGUGCCUUCAGUAAUUCUCUCUUUCUCUCAUUUCCUACUAAUUUGUAUCCAGUUCUACAUGACUGGCACGGAAUCGUUCUCUAAAUGGGUCACAUUCCUAGGUGACGCUUUCAGCAAGUGCUAACCUGACUUCCUGCUUCCCUCUCUUCCUCCACCCAUUAACAAAUAUUCCUGUGCACCUACUGUGUGCCUGGCACUGUUCUAGGGCCGAGAGCAGACAAGUUCUUCUCUAACAGGAAGCCAGCAUUUUAGCAGGGGAAGACAGCCAUCACCAGAUCAAUGAAUAAAUAAGGACAGUAAUUUCAGAUAUGAUUGAGUGCUGUGAAGAACCAAAGCCAGGUAGUAGGGUAGGUGUGAGAACAGGGGCUUGUAAACACUUCCUGGUGAUUCCAGCAAUGGUGGUUAUAAAGCGUCACCAUGCAGGAGUGAGGUUUAGGGGGAAAAAUCUCAACUAACGAAUCUCUACCUUGUAAAUUACUCUCCUCCACCUUUCCAUUCCAUCCCAUAUUAUAGUCGUGAUUUUUAAAAAGGAAAAUAUUUUUUUCACUUCAUAAUUGCUUGUUUAUAAGAAUUUUCUGGCAUCACAGGCACUGCACAAAUUCUGUUUCAUACAAUAAUUCACUCAGCAGAGGGAGCUCAUGCUUUAAUUUUGGGAAGUUGGACAGAAAGCAAGAUUCUUUAAAAAGAACCUGAAAUAAAUGCUGCAACUCUCAUUUUAAAUAAGGUUUUCUUUGAGUACUUCUUGGAGCUAAGACCAUUUGACUAAUACAUAAAUAGAUGUGACUGAUGAAUUCAUUUUGGGGAAGAAUUUUCUUUAAUAAGGUUCUGUUUUACAUAUCAAAUAGGCUAAUUUAGAACAGGUAUCCCAGCUCAGGAGUCUAAGGAUUCAUCUAGAAAGAAGACAGCUGUCCACUUGUCCACCUUUCUGUUAAAUUGCACUCUGAACUCAGAACAUGAACUUAUUUGACUCAUUCUAACAUGACUGUGAUUUGACACUGAAUGUGUGCAUGUUGAGGUCCCUGCCUUUGAAAUUAUAAAACAGAUAUUUAUUUAGACUUCAAAGAAUGUUUACUACAACAUGAGCCAAGGUCAAAGGCAGAGUGAAGAUUGAGAGAAUGAGUUAAUCUCUUAAAGAGCCAGAACCAUGAAGUUGACUCAGCAGUUCUGAAACCACAGGUGAAAUCAGCAGCAGUAACAGCUGGGGUUUUGUGUGUGUAAACUACAAUUUUCAGUUUCCCAGAGGACUACCAUAAUGACAGAAAAGGUGUAUUAGGUAGACUUUCUCUUACUGUACAUAUCUGAUUAGUAAUUCUGCAUUCUAAUUCUCAUUUCUACAAGAUAGAAAGCAACAUUUAAAAACACACUGUCUUAUUAGCAAAGUCAAACAUUUAUUAAUAGAAAAUUGAGGAAAAAAACAUUAAGAAGAGCAUAAAAAACACAAGAUAUUUAUUUUAGAUUAGCACUUGCAACUUUAUAUCUAGCUUUAAAAUUAAUGUAUGCAGUGUGGGGUUAUUUUGCUCUGUUUUUAAAAUUGACGUAUAGUUGAUUUACAAUGUUGUAUUAAUUUCUGCUGUAUAGCA